RNAcentral lists this ribosomal RNA (790 nucleotides) under uncultured bacterium. RNAcentral describes it as "bacterial SSU rRNA". It matches the Rfam family "Bacterial small subunit ribosomal RNA", at positions 8 to 796 of the family's 1533-position model. The record is from RNAcentral.
AGAGUUUGAUCAUGGCUCAGAUUGAACGCUGGCGGCAUGCCUUACACAUGCAAGUCGAACGGCAGCACGGGAGCAAUCCUGGUGGCGAGUGGCGAACGGGUGAGUAAUAUAUCGGAACGUGCCCAGUCGUGGGGGAUAACGCAGCGAAAGCUGUGCUAAUACCGCAUACGAUCUCUGGAUGAAAGCGGGGGACCGUAAGGCCUCGCGCGAUUGGAGCGGCCGAUAUCAGAUUAGCUAGUUGGUGGGGUAAAAGCCCACCAAGGCGACGAUCUGUAGCUGGUCUGAGAGGACGACCAGCCACACUGGAACUGAGACACGGUCCAGACUCCUACGGGAGGCAGCAGUGGGGAAUUUUGGACAAUGGGCGCAAGCCUGAUCCAGCAAUGCCGCGUGCAGGAUGAAGGCCUUCGGGUUGUAAACUGCUUUUGUACGGAACGAAACGGCUCUUUCUAAUAAAGGGGGCUAAUGACGGUACCGUAAGAAUAAGCACCGGCUAACUACGUGCCAGCAGCCGCGGUAAUACGUAGGGUGCGAGCGUUAAUCGGACUUACUGGGCGUAAAGCGUGCGCAGGCGGUAAUGUAAGACAGAUGUGAAAUCCCCGGGCUUAACCUGGGACCUGCAUUUGUGACUGCAUUGCUGGAGUGCGGCAGAGGGGGAUGGAAUUCCGCGUAGCAGUGAAAUGUGUAGAUAUGCGGAGGAACACCGAUGGCGAAGGCAAUCCCUGGGCCUGCACUGACGCUCAUGCACGAAAGCGUGGGGAGCAAACAGGAUUAGAUACCCUAGUAGUCC